This 335-nucleotide unclassified non-coding RNA is filed under the name soil metagenome. Its description in RNAcentral is "partial contains 5.8S ribosomal RNA, internal transcribed spacer 2, and large subunit ribosomal RNA". The stretch from base 1 to 120 matches the Rfam family "5.8S ribosomal RNA", at positions 35 to 154 of the family's 154-position model. The record is from RNAcentral.
GAUGAAGAACGCAGCUAAAUGCGAUAAGUAAUGUGAAUUGCAGAAUUCAGUGAAUCAUCGAAUCUUUGAACGCACAUUGCGCCCGCCAGUAUUCUGGCGGGCAUGCCUGUUCGAGCGUCAUUUCAACCAUCAAGCCCCCGGCUUGUGUUGGGGACCUGCGGCUGCCGCAGGCCCUGAAAACCAGUGGCGGGCUCGCUAGUCACUCCGAGCGUAGUAAUACAUCUCGCUCAGGGCGUGCUGCGGGUUCCGGCCGUUAAAAAGCCUUAUUUACCCAAGGUUGACCUCGGAUCAGGUAGGAAGACCAGCUGAACUUAAGCAUAUCAAUAAGCGGAGGA